AUGCCUGAUCAGAGCAUCAAGCUCGACCUACGCAGCUACCACAGAGCACCUGCUGCCGGGCGUCACCGCAAGCUACUCGAGCCUUCUCCGGGGCCUUCUCCCGCGCCUUCUCCCGAGCCUUCUCAGAGCGAAAACGACGUCGAGGUCGACGUGGCGAGCUACGGAGCCGUCGGCGACGGCCAACAGGACGACACGCCGGCGUUCCGGGAAGCAUGGGCCGCCGCUUGCGCCUCGCCUCAGCCGGCCACCCUCGUGGUCCCCAGGGAGAAGACGUACCUCGUGAAGCACCGGUCGGCAUGGCCCGAGGAGAACAUGAGGUGGUGGAUCAUGUUCCGCAACGUCGAUGGGCUCACCGUGACCGGCGACGGGACCAUCGACGGCAACGGCGAGACGUGGUGGAAGAGCUCGUGCCGUGUGGACAAGAAGCUCAAGCUGCUGCUCAGCAGGUGCAACAACCUCACGGUGGAGAACAUCCAGCUCCUCAACAGCCAGCAGAUCCACAUGUCGGUCGAGGACUGCCGGGACGUGCUCCUCAAGGGCAUCACCAUCACCGCCCCCGGCGACAGCCCCAUGAACGACGGGAUCCACAUUGCUCGCACCAAGGACAUCCAGGUCCUGGAUUGCGACAUUAAAACAGGGGACGACUGCAUGUCCAUCGAGACCGGAACCGAAAACCUCUACGCUUCGAGAAUAACCUGUGGCCCGGGACACGGGAUCAGCAUCGGGAGCUUAGGCGACGACAACUCCGAGGCCCGAGUCUCCAACGUAACAGUCUACAAGGCGCACCUCUCCGGCACGACCAACGGCGUGCGCAUGAAGUCAUGGCAGGGAGGAAAAGGGUACGCCACGGACGUCACGUUCGAGGACAUAACCAUGGAGGAUGUCCAUAACCCCAUAAUCAUCGACCAGAACUACUGCACAUCGCCUAAGUCGUGCAAGAAACAAACUUCGGCAGUGGAGUUCAGCAACAUUCGGUUCAAGGACAUAAGGGGCACGAGCGCGACGAAAGAGGCUAUCAAGCUGGACUGCAGCGACACCGUCCCGUGCCGCGAUAUAUUGUUGCAAGAUGUGAAGCUUACUUUUCAUGACCGUGGGCACAAGCACAAGCACGCUUCCGCAACAAGUGUAUGCAACAACCCAAGCUAA
This 1146-nucleotide ribosomal RNA is filed under the name Triticum aestivum (bread wheat). RNAcentral's name for it is "partial small subunit ribosomal RNA". Lineage: Eukaryota; Viridiplantae; Streptophyta; Magnoliopsida; Poales; Poaceae. The record is from RNAcentral.